Long non-coding RNA from Etheostoma cragini (Arkansas darter), 441 nucleotides. RefSeq lists it as uncharacterized. The transcript has 3 exons. NCBI's taxonomy places the organism in Eukaryota, Metazoa, Chordata, Actinopteri, Perciformes, Percidae. The record is from RefSeq and is a predicted model, not a curated record.
ACCGACAGUCAUUCAUUUGUGUGACAUUUCAUGCUGUUUUUUUUGCACAGGCCAAAAUGGAUAGUAAGAAGAAAGAUGACAGCCAACAAGCAUUCAGUGAUGAUCCUUAAUCCAGCUUUCAUGAGGUACGUUCAUUACAUGUGGCUGGAAAAGCAGGGCUAUUACCCCUCCACUGGCUUUCUGGCUUUGGUUCUUGCCCUGCACAUUUGUGACGAGGUCAGUGUGUUUGGCUAUGGCGCAGACAGCGAUGAAACUGGAGUCAUUACUGGGAAAAACUCAUGGACAAAAAGUUAAAAACUGGAAGUCAUCCUGGAACAAAAGAGUAUGGAAUAAUCCAGGAGCUAGAUGAGAAACAUAAACUCAAGUUUUAUACAGGGUUCUGAUCUUUCUCUUAGCAUUUAAAGGAAGGUUAGUAGUGGGUUACAGUAGAAGAACAUGAAG